Molecule: small RNA, 1057 nt
Filed under: Oryza sativa Japonica Group (Japanese rice)
Lineage: Eukaryota; Viridiplantae; Streptophyta; Magnoliopsida; Poales; Poaceae
Description: sRNA Os01g0550850
Source: RNAcentral
CCAGGUCCACCAUAGUAAAUGUAAGUGCCCCAACUAGUGGUACUGGAGGAACCAGUCAUGAUAUUAUAGCAAUUGGGCAGCGAGGCUAUCAAGCCCACACCAUUUGGUGGUUUGAGAUGGUUGGAGGAAUCAACAACUUGGAUUGCUCUACUGUAGGUGGCCUUGCCAAACCCUUCCUCAGGGAAAUGUCCACUGCCCAUGGGUGCGGUAAUUUGAGGAGAAUACACCUCCCCACCCCAUUCCACAGUAUCGGCAACGCCUGUCUGCAGGAGGGUAAAGAUGGAUGAUGGCCAGUAGCCCACAUAAUUGCCUUGCAGUUGCAACCACCAGUUGCCCCCCGCUGGGUCCUUCCAAACUAAAUAAUCAUACUCAUAUUGUGUGCUGCCAUAGAUGGAGACAGGGGAUAAGCUGCCACCGAUGACGAACUGCGGGUUUGUCUGGAUGAACCCUGAGCACGCUAGAUUGUAACAUCCCGUUGUGUUAUAUGCAUCACGCUACAAUAUAUAUUCCAUUACUCUUGUAUUGAUCUUGCUCUUUAGGUGUCAUGUACCUGCCAUCCUGCUUCAAUGGUAUUAAGGUCCUUGUUUUCAUAGGAGCCCGCUGUGAUCCAUAGCUGGGACAAGCUGAAAUCACCGAAUGUUGCAAUCGUUGGUUGCCACACAUUGAUGGUCACUUUGGUUCCGUAGUAGUUGGAAUCCCCAGGUGGUACUAUACGUGGUGGCCGUCCGUGACACCACCCAAGUGAGAGUGAGGGUGAGGGCUCCCGCCGUGCGUCUUCUUGCCAAACGUUGUAACAGAGGUGGCCCUCAUGACAUCCUCCUCCUUGGUCCUUCGGAUCGGUAUAGUAUUGUCAGGGCACUUUUCGCCAUUCUGAUUCCAUGUUUGGGUGAAUGGACGUGUUGCUUCUCCAUAUAGGCCACUUGGCUGGAUAGAAGUGGAAUUAUAUAUGAAGUUAAUUCACCUGGAUUGUAUGGUCCUUGAGAAGAGGAUGGUCGAAUGCAGGUUGAUUGGAGAUGUGCACACAAUCUAUGAUAUCUCCAUCUAGGCUCUGCAUGCC